GAUAAACGCUGGCGGCGUGCUUAACACAUGCAAGUCGAACGAAGUUUUUCAUUCGUGGAAAACUUGGUGGCGGACGGGUGAGUAACGCGUGGGUAACCUGCCCUGUACAGGGGGACAACAGCUGGAAACGGCUGCUAAUACCGCAUAAGCCCUUAGCACUGCAUGGUGCAUAGGGAAAAGGAGUAAUCCGGUACAGGAUGGACCCGCGUCUGAUUAGCCAGUUGGCAGGGUAACGGCCUACCAAAGCAACGAUCAGUAGCCGAUCUGAGAGGAUGUACGGCCACAUUGGGACUGAGACACGGCCCAGACUCCUACGGGAGGCAGCAGUGGGGAAUAUUGCACAAUGGAGGAAACUCUGAUGCAGCGACGCCGCGUGAGUGAAGAAGUAUUUCGGUAUGUAAAGCUCUAUCAGCAGGGAAGAAAAUGACG
RNAcentral lists this ribosomal RNA (429 nucleotides) under uncultured bacterium. RNAcentral describes it as "bacterial SSU rRNA". It matches the Rfam family "Bacterial small subunit ribosomal RNA", at positions 28 to 456 of the family's 1533-position model. The record is from RNAcentral.